RNAcentral lists this unclassified non-coding RNA (519 nucleotides) under Hevea brasiliensis (rubber tree). Lineage: Eukaryota; Viridiplantae; Streptophyta; Magnoliopsida; Malpighiales; Euphorbiaceae. The record is from RNAcentral.
GAGAGGAUGGGGCUGGUUUGGCAUCUUGGUAAUCAUUAUCUUAUGCCUUUUUGGAGGGUAUAUGUUGGUUGGUGCAGUUUAUCGAUACUUCUUCCUUGGAGUUCGUGGUUUAGAUAUGAUUCCAAACUUGGAUUUUUGGGUCAGAUUGCCUCAGAGAACACAGAGUUGUUGUGCAUCUCUGGUGCGGAAAUUUAGAGGACCAACAGAAGGUUAUCGAUGCUCUUAUUCUCCAGUCAAUUUUUAAGCAAUUACAAUUCAAUUCCACAUUUAGUAGUGGUGAAUCAGUUUUGAGACAUCUGGGCUGCACUAUUAAACUCUUGCACAAUCAAGUGCUUCGGUUUCCUGAUAGUCUAGGUUGGUCAUCUCAUUGAAGUAGACUUUGACAAUCCUUUGCAGAAAUGCCCUGCCGUUCAGUUGACAUGUAUGCCACCAUAUCCCAAUUUUCAUUUUUCCCAUGAUUUCUUUCUUCAGCAUUAUUCAUUUGAUUGUAAUCUCUCUAUUAGCUUAGUGUUUGUUUUU